AUUGAACGCUGGCGGCAGGCCUAACACAUGCAAGUCGAGCGAGCGGCGGACGGGUGAGUAAUGUCUGGGAAACUGCCUGAUGGAGGGGGAUAACUACUGGAAACGGUAGCUAAUACCGCAUACCAUCAGAUGUGCCCAGAUGGGAUUAGCUGGGAGGGGGGGGAACGGCUCACCUAGGCGACGAUCCCUAGCGGGUCUGGGAGGAUGACCCGCAACACUGGAACUGAGACACGGUCCAGACUCCUCGGGGAGGCAGCAGAGGGGAAUAUUGCACAAUGGGCGCAAGCCUGAUGCAGCCAUGCCGCGGGGAUGAAGAAGGCCUUCGGGUUGUAAAGUACUUUCAGCGGGGAGGCGUUACCCGCAGAAGAAGCACCGGCUAACUCCGUGCCAGCAGCCGCGGUAAUAC
Molecule: ribosomal RNA, 406 nt
Filed under: uncultured bacterium
Lineage: Bacteria
Description: partial 16S ribosomal RNA
Rfam family: Bacterial small subunit ribosomal RNA
Source: RNAcentral